AGUGAACGCUGGCGGCAGGCCUAACACAUGCAAGUCGAACGGCAGCACAGUAAGAGCUUGCUCUUACGGGUGGAGAGCGGCGGAAGGGUGAGGAAUACAUCGGAAUCUACUUUUUCGUGGGGGAUAACGUAGGGAAACUUACGCUAAUACCGCAUUUGACCUCCGGGGGAAAGCAGGGGAUCUUUGGACCUUGCGCGAUUGAAUGAGCCGAUGUCGGAUUAGCUAGUUGGCGGGGUAAAGGCCAAACUGGGCCACGAUGCGUAGGUGGUCUGAGAGGGUGGUCAGCCACACGGGAUGGGAGACUGGGCCGACACUCCUGGGGUAGGACACAGUGGGGAAUAGUAGACAAGGGGGGCGAGGCUGAUCCAGCCAUACCGCGUGGGUGAUGAAGGCCUUCUGGUUGUAAAGCCCUUUUGUUGGUAAAGAAAAGCAGCAGGUUAAUACCCCGCUGUUCUGACGGUACCCGAAGAAUAAGCACCGGCUAACUUCGUG
This 492-nucleotide ribosomal RNA is filed under the name uncultured bacterium. RNAcentral's name for it is "partial 16S ribosomal RNA". It matches the Rfam family "Bacterial small subunit ribosomal RNA", at positions 29 to 507 of the family's 1533-position model. The record is from RNAcentral.